AUGAUUAGUUAAACAGAACUUUUAUCUAUCUAAAGACCUAAAACUAGUAAAUCAAAAAACUGGUCCCUAUAUUAACGCCUAGCCUAUGUAUUUUUAAUGUAUUUUCUUUAAAGGUAUUAACUACUAUCUAGUGUGAAAUUAUCUUUGUUUCAAAUAGCAUUAAGAACAUUUGGCCCUAAAGCAGAUUAGCCUUUAGACUUUAACAUUGUGGGAAAAGUUGUUAAAAUCUUUCUUUAGUCUCAGAUGGUCUUUGAGUAGGAAUUGGUUUAUAAGAGUUUACCACAUUAACUUAACUUUUCCUUUCUCACGUUUUGGAAACAAAAUUCAACAAAGUGAGUGUUGUUUUGAUUUCACAAUUUGGAGUGCGGUUUUCAACAUAGUUAAGUACUUUGACUUAUCAAAAUUAUUUGUUUUCCUUAAACGUGCAACUUAUAUGCUUUUAAUACUUAUUAUCCUAACUAGUGAAUAAACCUAAGUUUGACCAGUUAUCUAAUUAACGGAUCAUAUAGGGUGUUUUAAUAACCUUUCCUAUAGGAUAAAUUAGAACCCUUACCCAUAAUUUUAAGGUUAAAUAGACUAUAUAAACUGAGUUAACUUUAGCGUUAUUUAGAUAAAAGGUGGUGUUCUAAUUCACCUUAAAAUAAUUAGGUGACCACUCUCUUAAAAUUAAUUAAAUAUCGUCCUUUCUAAUAUGUUAUACUCUAAUCGACCUGGUUAAAAUGGGGUAUAACACAUGCCAUAAUUGCAGAUUUCCAGCCAUCGACCCUAAGCUUCUUCUUCUUCAUGGAGUCAAAACAAGCGAAGAACAGAGCUCCCAUCUGUUCCUGUUUCUUCAUCUCGUAACCAGCAGAUUUUUUCUUCUUCAUCGUACUCAACUCAACUCGCCGGAACACGCACACACGCAGUCACGUACCAAAACAAAAAUGGGACAGAAAUUAAAAGAGGUCCAUGGUUCUUAGAAUCUUUGAAAAAUCGGAAAACUAAAACAAAACAAAAAAAGAUAUAUGUUCUUCAUUUUUUUUUCAUCUCGAUGUUGAUUUUCUAAAAACCCAUGGAUUCUGUCUGAGCCGAGUUAGAGUCGAGUUUGCGUUCGAGAUUCCGUCCGCGUUGAUUUCUGGAUGCAGUGAUUCGUUCUGUUCAACUACAAUAAUUUGCUGGAGUUAUAUUAAUUAAAAGUCAUUUUUUCCAGGUCCAAGUCAUUUGGAAAUUGCCCUGCCGGAUCCGGGUGGGACAAUUGUACUAGCAUAUCCUUAGUUUGGAAGCACGCGAGGAGCUAUAUACGGUCAAAUUGGAGGGUCCAAUUUCUUGUCAUUAUGGUGUUUGGGAAGUCAUAUCGAGAUCUCGAGGCUGCGAGGUUGGACCCGAUGAGGGUUGCCUACGUAUCUCACAUCCGGUGAGAAUCAAACCCGCGUAGUUCGGGCAAAUGAACUACUUUAAAAGAAGAAAGGAAGCAUUUUUGAUUGACUUUCUUUUUACAAGAAACACUUCUAAGAUAUAUUUUGGAAUUUUCAUUUGCACUUNNNN
This 1524-nucleotide long non-coding RNA is filed under the name Nicotiana tabacum (common tobacco). Its description in RNAcentral is "long non-coding RNA (NTAB_LNC000543)". The record is from RNAcentral. Lineage: Eukaryota; Viridiplantae; Streptophyta; Magnoliopsida; Solanales; Solanaceae.